Artomyces pyxidatus is the source of this 85-nucleotide non-coding RNA. The record is from the annotation of a GenBank genome assembly. NCBI's taxonomy places the organism in Eukaryota, Fungi, Basidiomycota, Agaricomycetes, Russulales, Auriscalpiaceae.
GGCUGCGUAGUGUAGUGGUUAUCACCCGAGAUUCUGACAUCUAUUGGAGAUUCUCGUGACCCAGGUUCGAUCCCUGGCGCGGCCU